RNAcentral lists this ribosomal RNA (253 nucleotides) under uncultured prokaryote. Its description in RNAcentral is "partial 16S ribosomal RNA". It matches the Rfam family "Bacterial small subunit ribosomal RNA", at positions 524 to 776 of the family's 1533-position model. The record is from RNAcentral.
UACGAGUGCCCCGAGCGUUAUCCGGAAUCAUUGGGCGUAAAGGGUGUGUAGGUGGUUGUGUUAGUCAAUCGUUAAAACCCGGAGCUUAACUCCGGACUUGCGAUUGAAACGGCACGACUAGAGGAUGGCAGGGAUCUGUGGAACUCAUGGAGCAGGGGUGAAAUCCGUUGAUAUCAUGGGGAACACCAAAAGCGAAGGCAGCAGAUUGGGCCACUCCUGACACUGAAACACGAAAGCGUGGGUAGCGAAUGGG